Molecule: long non-coding RNA, 2214 nt
Organism: Xenia sp. Carnegie-2017
Lineage: Eukaryota; Metazoa; Cnidaria; Anthozoa; Malacalcyonacea; Xeniidae
Exons: 2
Source: RefSeq, a predicted model, not a curated record
UUUUGAAAUCAGAACAAUGAUUCUGAUACGGAAAACGUCAAUGAUAAAAACAUAUCACGGUGGCUACAGGUAAAACGUCAAUGAUAAAAACAUAUCACGGUGGCUACAGGUAAAGCGGCACAGUAAAGUUGAUUGUUGGAUCACCUUUACAGACAAAAUAAAUUUUGUUGUUUUUUUUGCUGCCGUUAUUUGUACAAACCUCAAUUCUUGUUUCAGUUGUUUGUCGAGUUCGGAAUUUGGCAUGUUUUGCCUUCAUAUGAUUGGCUUGACAUUGUGAUAAAAUUGUCGAAGAAUUGUCAUCUAGGAUAUAUCCAUUAAAAAAAAAUCACAAAAAAUCCUUGACCGUUAAGAAAAAAUAUAUCAUACGCUUAAAGCAAUUUCUGGCAUUUUUACCCAUUUACCGCCUCACCCACGCAUCACUUUUAAGAAUAUGAUAAAAAUUACAAAUUUUGCGCAAAUUCCAAAGACACUCCAUGUCUGGAAAAAAUAUGUAACGAGAAACUCAAUAAACUUAAAUAGCCGUACCAUUCUAAGUUAUUUUGGGAGAGGAAAUAUUCUAUGUAUGACAUGACCGUCACGACGGUGAAUUGAUUAUACUAUCUUCAAAAUUGCUGAGAAUAUGUGCGUGCAAAUCAAAGAAAUUAACUAAUAUAUAUGUAAAGCCAGUAAGGGCAUUGUUUUAAACAAUUCGAGUCAAAAUAUGCACAGUUACAUUUUAGUAGAACAUGUUUCACAAUGCUCUUUUAAUGACGUUUCAAGUAGUACCGGUGGUCCUCAUGUAUAUAUGCUCAAUAUGCAAGAGUUUCAAAAACGAUGUUUUUCAUCAAACCAAAUCAACUAAUAGUACAAGCAACACGGUUAUAAAGCUUGUUGUUCAGUUAGAAAACUACGUAUAUUCUUAAUUUGGCUACAAGAAAUACCAUAGACAAAAGCAGUUCUUAACAGCAUGAUAUAAAAUAAUAAAAAGACACAUGCUGUUGAGAGUGUAGAGAAUGUUAAAAAUACGUCCUUUAAACACUCUCUAAUAGCUAUAUAUGGACGAGUUAAAAACCAACCGAUCAAAAUUUGCUCGCUAGAACAUUCCAUAUUUUGGUGUUUAUGUUAAAGACAUAUGAUUACGAUGGCAUCCAUUACGAUGGGAUUUGUCAGAUACAUUCACGUGCAUAUCUCACAUGUAACAACUUUCACAACAUUCGUGUUAUCAGCCACACCACAUCAAUAAUCACAAUAAAAAUAAACAUUCUACAAUUUCGAAAACAAGUAUAAUGGACUUGAUUAGCUCACACGUGAGAGCAAUAUAUAAAGCCACAGGCAAAUCACAUUUUCAUCAGUUCACUUUAGUGUUUAAGCUACACAAGUCGUUGUAAGACAAGAAACGACAAAUCUUAAUCGAAAGUCUAGAAGAUUUUGUGAAACUGUGAUUCAGAGAAAAAUGGGGAUUUUCUGUGGAAAUAAAGGAAACGUCAAACAAAUGUUUUCACUCAUCCAAAAAGUUCAACAACAUCGUCUGAAUGAUCAAAGAUGUGAUCCUGAAAUUAUUAAAAGAGCAGACGAGAAUCAACUCUUUGAAACGAUAAUUUUUUAUCAGUCCAAGAGAAUGGAGGACCAACGUUGCAACAUGCCGUCCAACCUCGCUAAGUAUCAGCAAUAAGUAUUUUAUUAAAAGAUAAAAUGCAAGACUCUUUGCCUUCUUACGUUUUGAUGACAUGCAAGAGUCAAGAGAUGCCACUUAUGAAUAACUUGGCAAUAUCAAAGUGAAUAUCAGGUAGACGCUCCGUACAUCAACCGUAAAGAGAUGAUUGAGCUGCUCAGCCAUGGCUACACCGAGACAGUUAAAAGGUUUGCCAUUUACACAACGUUGAAAGAAAGCCAAUACAGAACUAUAUAAGCGUGAAUAAUGAAGUAUGAAUAGUAGUAAAAGAGUAAAAGGGCUAUAUGAAACAGUUUAUGAAAGAGAUAUUAUAUAGUUUACAUUAUAAAAUAAAUGCAUAGUUUACUAUAGCAUAGUUUACUGGAACAGAGGGCUCGAGUAUUAUGUUUGGUCUGAUUAUGUGUCUAAUAAACAUGCGUAUACAGAAUACAAAAUGUCGUUAAGUAAUAGCGAAAUUUAUCUAACUGAAAACGACGUACGAUUGAAAAUGUCAUUGCAUAAUGGUGUAAAUUGUUAUAGAUGGCCUUUCAUAUGCCCAAAUGAUAAAUUCCAAGCCAAUUUUA